Molecule: long non-coding RNA, 408 nt
Filed under: Ananas comosus (pineapple)
Lineage: Eukaryota; Viridiplantae; Streptophyta; Magnoliopsida; Poales; Bromeliaceae
Description: long non-coding RNA (ACOM_LNC035760)
Source: RNAcentral
ACGUCAUGCAUCGGUAUAACAUAGUUAGUUAAUUCAGAUUCGGCAAAAAUUCGGUACGGGUAUAAUUCGGAUAAAAUUCAUCUUUUAAUUUUUAAAUUCGUUGAAAAAUACGGCUAAAAAACGGAUUUGGUAAUUAUUCGGAUACGUGAUUUAUACGGGUAUUAUACGUUCACCAAUUAAAAAUUCAAAAAAAAAAAUUCGACUAUAUAAUAAAUAUAUAAUAAUUAAUAUACUAUAUAUAUUAUUAUUAUAAUUUUUAUAUAUAGAUUAAAUAUAUUCANGGUCCCGGGGCGUGACAGAUUAGUUUGGUAUCAGAGCCUAGGGUUGAGUCUUAGUGGACCUAGCAAAUCUUAGGCCGGUUGGACUAUAGGAAAUAGGCUCGUGAGAGACGAGAUCUAUUCGACUUGU